UGUAUGUAUGUAUGUAUGUGAGUGAGAUGGGUUUCGGGGUUCUAUCAUGUUGCCCACGCUGGUCUCGAACUCCUGUCCUCAAGCAAUCCGCCUGCCUGCCUCGGCCGCCCACACUGCUGCUAUUACAGGCGUGAGACGCUGCGCCUGGCUCCUUCUACAUUUGCCUGCCUGCCUGCCUGCCUGCCUGCCUGCCUGCCUGCCUGCCUGCCUAUCAAUCGUCUUCUUUUUAGUACGGAUGUGCUCUCGCUUUAUUGUCCAUGCUCUGGGCACACGUGGUCUCUUUUCAAACUUCUAUGAUUAUUAUUAUUGUAGGCGUCAUCUCACGUGUCGAGGUGAUCUCGAACUUUUAGGCUCCAGAGAUCCUCCCGCAUCGGCCUCCCGGAGUGCUGUGAUGACACGCGUGGGCACGACGGAGUUUCACUCUUGUCGCCCAGGGUGGAGUACGAUGGCGGCUCUCGGCUCACCGCACCCUCCGCCUCCCAGGUUCAAGUGAUUCUCCUGCCUCAGCCUUCCCGAGUAGCUGGAAUGACAGAGAUGAGCCAUCGUGCCCGGCUAAUUUUUCUAUUUUUACUACAGAUGGGGUUUCUCCAUCUUGGUCAGGCUGGUCUUCAACUUCCGACCGUUGGAGAAUCUUAACUUUCUUGGUGGUGGUUGUUUUCCUUUUUCUUUUUUUUCUUUUCUUUUCUUUCCUUCUCCUCCCCCCCCACCCCCCCUUGUCGUCGUCCUCCUCCUCCUCCUCCUCCUCCUCCUCCUCCUCCUCCUCCUCCUCCUCUUUCAUUUCUUUCAGCUGGGCUCUCCUACGUGUGUUGCUCUGUUGCUCACGCUGGUCUCAAACUCCUGGCCUUGACGCUUCUCCCGUCACAUCCGCCGUCUGGUUGUUGAAAUGAGCAUCUCUCGUAAAAUGGAAAAGAUGAAAGAAAUAAACACGAAGACGGAAA
Molecule: long non-coding RNA, 938 nt
Organism: Homo sapiens (human)
Lineage: Eukaryota; Metazoa; Chordata; Mammalia; Primates; Hominidae
Exons: 2
Source: RefSeq, a predicted model, not a curated record